CGGUGGAUGCCUUGGCAUUAAGAGCCGAUGAAGGACGUGUGAAUCUGCGAUAAGCCUCGGGGAGCCGAUAAACGGGCUGUGAUCCGAGGAUGUCCGAAUGGGGGAACCCCGCCGCAUGCGAGUGCGGUGACCCGCACCUGAAUAUAUAGGGUGUGUGGAGGGAACGCGGGGAAGUGAAACAUCUCAGUACCCGCAGGAAGAGAAAAUAAUAAUGAUUCUGUUAGUAGUGGCGAGCGAACGCGGAUGAGGCUAAACCUGUG
RNAcentral lists this ribosomal RNA (260 nucleotides) under Chaetoceros curvisetus. RNAcentral's name for it is "partial Bacterial large subunit ribosomal RNA". It matches the Rfam family "Bacterial large subunit ribosomal RNA", at positions 22 to 279 of the family's 2925-position model. Lineage: Eukaryota; Bacillariophyta; Thalassiosirophyceae; Chaetocerotales; Chaetocerotaceae. The record is from RNAcentral.